GCCGCGGUAAUACGGAGGGUGCAAGCGUUAAUCGGAAUUACUGGGCGUAAAGCGCACGCAGGCGGUUUGUUAAGUCAGAUGUGAAAUCCCCGGGCUCAACCUGGGAACUGCAUUUGAAACUGGCAAGCUAGAGUCUCGUAGAGGGGGGUAGAAUUCCAGGUGUAGCGGUGAAGUGCGUAGAGAUCUGGAGGAAUACCGGUGGCGAAGGCGGCCCCCUGGACGAAGACUGACGCUCAGGUGCGAAAGCGUGGGGAGCAAACAGGAUUAGAUACCCUGGUAGUCCACGCUGUAAACGAUGUCGAUUUGGAGGUUGUGCCCUUGAGGCGUGGCUUCCGGAGCUAACGCGUUAAAUCGACCGCCUGGGGAGUACGGCCGCAAGGUUAAAACUCAAAUGAAUUGACGGGGGCCCGCACAAGCGGUGGAGCAUGUGGUUUAAUUCGAUGCAACGCGAAGAACCUUACCUACUCUUGACAUCCAGAGAACUUAGCAGAGAUGCUUUGGUGCCUUCGGGAACUCUGAGACAGGUGCUGCAUGGCUGUCGUCAGCUCGUGUUGUGAAAUGUUGGGUUAAGUCCCGCAACGAGCGCAACCCUUAUCCUUUGUUGCCAGCGGUUCGGCCGGGAACUCAAAGGAGACUGCCAGUGAUAAACUGGAGGAAGGUGGGGAUGACGUCAAGUCAUCAUGG
Molecule: ribosomal RNA, 684 nt
Filed under: uncultured Serratia sp.
Lineage: Bacteria; Pseudomonadati; Pseudomonadota; Gammaproteobacteria; Enterobacterales; Yersiniaceae
Description: bacterial SSU rRNA
Rfam family: Bacterial small subunit ribosomal RNA
Source: RNAcentral